This 159-nucleotide ribosomal RNA is filed under the name Clematis tangutica. Its description in RNAcentral is "5.8S ribosomal RNA". It matches the Rfam family "5.8S ribosomal RNA". Rfam says of the family: 5.8S ribosomal RNA (5.8S rRNA) is a component of the large subunit of the eukaryotic ribosome. It is transcribed by RNA polymerase I as part of the 45S precursor that also contains 18S and 28S rRNA. Functionally, it is thought that 5.8S rRNA may be involved in ribosome translocation. The record is from RNAcentral. Lineage: Eukaryota; Viridiplantae; Streptophyta; Magnoliopsida; Ranunculales; Ranunculaceae.
AAGACUCUCGGCAACGGACAUUUCGGCUUUUGCAUCGAUGAAGAACGUAGCGAAAUACGAUACUUUGUGUGAAUUGCAGAAUCCCGUGAACCAUCGAGUCUUUGAACGCAAGUUGCGCCAGAAGUCUUAUAGACUGAGGGCACGCGUGCCUGGGCGUCA